Molecule: unclassified non-coding RNA, 549 nt
Filed under: Hevea brasiliensis (rubber tree)
Lineage: Eukaryota; Viridiplantae; Streptophyta; Magnoliopsida; Malpighiales; Euphorbiaceae
Source: RNAcentral
GCACUGGUUUACUGGCUAGCAAGGUCUGUACAGGCUAAUAUGUUGGCAGCUGGCCUUGGUGCGUCGAAUCUUGUGUUGUAUGCAUUUGUAUACACACCACUAAAGCAGAUACAUCCAAUUAAUACAUGGGUCGGCGCAAUUGUUGGAGCUAUUCCUCCCCUGCUUGGGUGGGCUGCAGCUUCUGGUCAGGUGUCUCUCAAUGGAAUGCUCCUCCCAGCUGCUCUGUAUUUUUGGCAAAUACCUCAUUUCAUGGCCUUAGCCUACUUGUGUCGUAAAGAUUAUGCUGACGGAGGGUUCAGAAUGUACUCUCUUGCUGAUGCUUCUGGUCAGAGGACUGCCUCUGUAGCCUUCAGAAACUGCCUAUAUCUACUGCCAUUGGGUUACCUAGCCUAUGAUUGGAGUUUAACAUCUGGGUGGUUUUGCCUGGAAUCGACACUUCUUGCUCUGGCAAUCAGCGGUACAGCAAUAUCAUUCUACUUGAACCGUACAACCAAAGAUGCUAGGAGAAUGUUCCAUGCCAGCCUUCUGUAUCUUCCUGUAUUUAUGUCU